RNAcentral lists this ribosomal RNA (423 nucleotides) under uncultured bacterium. RNAcentral's name for it is "bacterial SSU rRNA". It matches the Rfam family "Bacterial small subunit ribosomal RNA", at positions 355 to 775 of the family's 1533-position model. The record is from RNAcentral.
UAAGGAAUAUUGGUCAAUGGGCGCAAGCCUGAACCAGCCAUGCCGCGUGCAGGAAGACGGCCCUAUGGGUUGUAAACUGCUUUUGUCAGGGAAUAAACCCCCGCUCGUGAGCGGGGCUGAAGGUACCUGAAGAAUAAGCAUCGGCUAACUCCGUGCCAGCAGCCGCGGUAAUACGGAGGAUGCAAGCGUUAUCCGGAUUCAUUGGGUUUAAAGGGUGCGCAGGCGGAUUGGUAAGUCAGGGGUGAAAUCCCACAGCUCAACUGUGGAACUGCCUUUGAUACUGUCAGUCGAGAGUAUAGUUGAAGUGGGCGGAAUGUGUCAUGUAGCGGUGAAAUGCUUAGGUAUGACAAAGAACACCGAUUGUGAAGGCAGCUCGCUAAGCUAUAACUGACGCUAAUGCACGAAAGCGUAGGGAUCAAACAG